This 604-nucleotide ribosomal RNA is filed under the name uncultured Phialocephala. RNAcentral describes it as "eukaryotic LSU rRNA". The stretch from base 243 to 396 matches the Rfam family "5.8S ribosomal RNA". Lineage: Eukaryota; Fungi; Ascomycota; Leotiomycetes; Helotiales. The record is from RNAcentral.
CUUGGUCAUUUAGAGGAAGUAAAAGUCGUAACAAGGUUUCCGUAGGUGAACCUGCGGAAGGAUCAUUACAAGUGAGGCUACCGAACGUUGGAAACAGCGGUUAGGAGCUUACACCCACCCGUGUUUACAUACUAUUGUUGCUUUGGCGGGCCGUGGCCUCCACUGCGGGCUCUGCUCGUGUGAGCCCGCCAGAGAACCAAACUCUGAAUGUUAGUGAUGUCUGAGUACUAUCUAAUAGUUAAAACUUUCAACAACGGAUCUCUUGGUUCUGGCAUCGAUGAAGAACGCAGCGAAAUGCGAUAAGUAAUGUGAAUUGCAGAAUUCAGUGAAUCAUCGAAUCUUUGAACGCACAUUGCGCCCUGUGGUAUUCCGCAGGGCAUGCCUGUUCGAGCGUCAUUUAACCACUCACGCCUAGCGUGGUAUUGGGGCACGCGGUCUCCGCGGCCCUCAAAAUCAGUGGCGGCGCCGGUGGGCUCUAAGCGUAGUACAUACUCCCGCUAUAGAGUUCCCCCCGGUGGCUCGCCAGAACCCCCAAUUUUUUACAGGUUGACCUCGGAUCAGGUAGGGAUACCCGCUGAACUUAAGCAUAUCAAUAAGCGGAGGA